This 484-nucleotide ribosomal RNA is filed under the name uncultured bacterium. Its description in RNAcentral is "partial 16S ribosomal RNA". It matches the Rfam family "Bacterial small subunit ribosomal RNA", at positions 30 to 507 of the family's 1533-position model. The record is from RNAcentral.
AUUGAACGCUGGCGGCAGGCCUAACACAUGCAAGUCGAGCGGAUGAAGGGAGCUUGCUCCUGGAUUCAUCGGCGGACGGGUGAGUAAUGCCUAGGAAUCUGCCUGGUAGUGGGGGAUAACGUCCGGAAACGGGCGCUAAUACCGCAUACGUCCUGAGGGAGAAAGUGGGGGAUCUUCGGACCUCACGCUAUCAUAUGAGCCUAGGUCGGAUUAGCUAGUUGGUGGGGUAAAGGCCUACCAAGGCGACGAUCCGUAACUGGUCUGAGAGGAUGAUCAGUCACACUAGAACUGAGACGAGGUCCAGACUCCUACGGGAGGCAGGAGUGGGGAAUAUUGGACAGUGGGCGAAGGCCUGAUCCAGCCAUGCCGCGUGUGUGAAGAAGGUCUUCGGAUUGUAAAGCACUUUAAGUUGGGAGGAAGGGCAGUAAGUUAAUACCUUGCUGUUUUGACGUUACCAACAGAAUAAGCACCGGCUAACUUCGUG